AGCUCCAAUAGCGUAUAUUAAUGUUGUUGCAGUUAAAAAGCUCGUAGUUGGAUUUCUGACAGGAGCGACCGGUCCGACCUUUUAGGUCGAGUACUUUGUGUUGUCUCUAGUCAUCCUUAUGGAGAACGCUUGUGGUAUUAAGUUAUCGCGGGUGGGAACCAUAUCGUUUACUGUGAAAAAAUUAGAGUGUUUAAAGCAGGCAAUCGCUGUGAAUACGUUAGCAUGGAAUAAUAAGAUAGGACUUUGGUACUAUUUUGUUGGUUUACAUACCAAGGUAAUGAUUAAGAGGGACAGUUGGGGGUAUUCGUAUUUAAUUGUCAGAGGUGAAAUUCUUGGAUUUAUGAAAGACGAACUACUGCGAAAGCAUUUACCAAGGAUGUUUUCAUUAAUCAAGAACGAA
This 400-nucleotide ribosomal RNA is filed under the name phytoplankton environmental sample. RNAcentral describes it as "partial small subunit ribosomal RNA". It matches the Rfam family "Eukaryotic small subunit ribosomal RNA", at positions 587 to 987 of the family's 1831-position model. The record is from RNAcentral.